GUGAACAAACCGGUGUGGCUAAGUUGCUGGCCUUUUCGGAGGCAUGUGCACGGCCUGCCAUUGUUUCAUCCUUCUCCACCUGUGCACUUCUGUGGGUCCACUCCAGCGCACUCUCUGUGUGCUGGACUCUGGUACCUACGUUUUCACUACCCACACAAUUGAAUGUUCAGAAUGUAUGUAUCAGGCAUUCUUGCCUAUAAAACCUUAUA
This 209-nucleotide unclassified non-coding RNA is filed under the name uncultured Pluteus. RNAcentral's name for it is "sequence contains ITS1". The record is from RNAcentral. Lineage: Eukaryota; Fungi; Basidiomycota; Agaricomycetes; Agaricales; Pluteaceae.